Molecule: ribosomal RNA, 558 nt
Filed under: Triticum aestivum (bread wheat)
Lineage: Eukaryota; Viridiplantae; Streptophyta; Magnoliopsida; Poales; Poaceae
Description: partial small subunit ribosomal RNA
Source: RNAcentral
AUGCAGGAAGAUGGUGUGAAUUGUGGUGUUGUAGAGUGGGUUGAUGGGCCUUGGCCAACUGUUCUUCAGAGAUGUUUGUGCAAGCUAUGGGAGAUGUUCCAUGAGCAGAACUUUGGAAGGGUACAGGACAAGGAGAAGUUUGAGAAGGAGUUGGCCAGGCUUAAGACUGAAAAUGAUAAGCUUUGCAUUGAGUACACCAAGCUUGUUGAUGAUGUAUCCAAGAUGUUUGAUUGGCAGGAUGGUAGGGUGGACAAGAAGGUGCACCAGAAACAAGUGGAGGAGGAAGAACUUGAGAAGAAGAAGAAGGAGCUAAAGGAGAAAGCUAUGUUGGAGGUGCAGAUGGAAAAGCUCAAACUUACAAAAGAGCAGAGGUGCAUUUUGCAGAGCCAAGCUGAUAUCAUCAAGAACACCAGGAAGGCUAUGAAGGAUGUUCAAGUUGACAGAGAUGUUCUUAAGAAGGAGAAGGCAAAGCUUGAGCUUGUUGUUGUUGAGCUGCUGAAAGAAGGGUAUGGCAGCAAGGAGAAGUUAGAGCAAAUCAAUGCCAUCCUUGAGUCUUGA